Long non-coding RNA from Musa acuminata AAA Group (dessert banana), 870 nucleotides. RefSeq lists it as uncharacterized. NCBI's taxonomy places the organism in Eukaryota, Viridiplantae, Streptophyta, Magnoliopsida, Zingiberales, Musaceae. The record is from RefSeq and is a predicted model, not a curated record. The transcript has 3 exons.
UGAAUAAAAAAGACGGGUCCGGCAGGUUCCAUAUGUUCUGUUAUCGUCCUCUAAACUUCCUCCCAAGAAUUCGUUGGAGGGGGAGGAGGGCGUUUCUUGGAGCACUUUGCCUCCGGUAGUCCUCCAAGAAUUCGUCUCUUUGGAGGAGGAGGAGGGCAUUUCUUGGAGCACUUUGCCUCCACUCGUCGGCGGAUAGGAUCAAUCCUGUCUUCUUCUGCAGCGGUAUGGCCGCCGUCGGUGACUCCUCUCGACGCGUCUCCUACAGCCGUCCUCGUCUAGGCUGGCUGGCUGGCUGGCGCCGACUUCGAUAUGGCUGCGGCGAUCCGGUACGUUUCCGCUGAGCUUUCGUUUCUUGUUUCGCUGCUUUCGUUCCGGUUCUUGGAGUUCUUGGUGUGAUGACCUUACGCGGUGGGAUCCGGAACCUUUAAUCCGAGAUUUCGUUUCUUGGUUCUUGGAUGUCGCUGCUUUGGUUUCGGUUCUUGGAGUCCUUUUGGUGUGAUCUCAGGCGGAGAUUUCGACCCUUGAGAAGAUUCUGAGAGGUGUCCUUGGAGGAGGGGGGAGGGGCUGGAUUACCCGAUCAUGAAAAUUUGGAAAAGGCUUGUUCUCUUUGCCAUGCUAGCGAAGGCGCUGAAUGCAGUCACUGAGAAAGAACACAUUUUAUCGAUAUGCCAGGAGCAUCCUGAAGGCAGUAUGCGUACACUGUUCGGCAACUGUUAUUUGGAAAAUACCUGGUUUCUUAUCCGUUGGCUGAUAACAGAAGAUGAAGAUAGCCUUCUGGCAGGUGUGUUAGUUUGAUCGGAGUCCUUUGCUGGUGGUACUGGAGAGGCUGCCGGUAAGAUUGGCUUGGAUGCACCAAGCAAGGUAAAGUUU